CUUCAGAAAAGUUAUAUCUUUUUAGAGCUGCUAGAACCACUGAAACAGCUGUUCCAAAAAACAUCAGUAGAAUCCACAUUAAAUACUUUGCUUCCUGGAUCCAGCCAACACAAGAAAGAGUCAUCCCUGCCAAUCUACUGAGUUCUUGCCUAAAAUAAAGACUCAGCCUGCUGAAAGAUACCCACUUGGUAACAAAUAGUUUUCUAUCUCUGAAAGCAGCAGAAUUUAGCGAAUUUUGUUAAAAUAAAACCAACAGUAGAAUCCCGCUACCACACUGGAAGUAAGAUCUGCUUUUCUUUGUCAUGUGGGGUUUUUUUUCUUUUCCUUUUCUUCUUUUUUUUUCCUUCUGAUGUUGUUUUGUUUCUUUGGUAGUAUAUUAAAUAGUAGCACAAAGAAAAAAUAUAUUCCUUACUAUUUGUUUUCUAUGUUAUACAUAUAAUAAAUACUUUAGAAAUUAAAUGAUAUUUUGAAUAUACAGCAAAUUCCUGCAUUUACUUUUCUGGAUUUUGCCUCAGUUCUUGUCUGAAACAUGUUUUGGGCUUUUAAUAAGACUGUCGCUGUCCCAUACCUGAUGUGCCAUAUGUGCUUGCUUGCAGGCCUUUUAAUUUACAGUGAAGUAAAUUGCUAAUGAAGCAGCUUUCAACAUUGUUUCAAUUUCAUUAAUCAUCCACCAGGGUAUUGCUACUGUAUUUGUCAAAAAAAGCCCCAAACCCUAGUACUAAACUUGCUGCAAGACAAGAACCCAGAAUAAGGAUUUGAAAACUUACUUGCACAUGUAUGUAUUAGAUCCCCUGAAUA
Molecule: non-coding RNA, 798 nt
Organism: Phalacrocorax carbo (great cormorant)
Lineage: Eukaryota; Metazoa; Chordata; Aves; Suliformes; Phalacrocoracidae
Source: RefSeq, a predicted model, not a curated record